UUGAAUAAACCCAUAAAUUUGCUAGAAGAGAAGACGGCCGGGUAAAGGGACGCAGACGCCGGUCGCUCGGCGUUUCAUCCACUCUAAACAUCGAUGAUAUCUCUGUCGAGGGAUCAAUCUCUCGUUUCAAUACACGCUCCGAUGAUCUGACACAAAAUCCGUAGAAAAAUUUGAUUAGAUUACCAGAAUGACCACUGCUUUGCUACAUCGACCCAUUAGGGCUAAUGGUGUGAGCUGGGGAUUUGCUGAGGAUUCCGGAACUUGUAAUGUGUUUUGGAAAUUUGACGUGAGAUUCUUUUCAAAGCGAUUAAGGGUCAACUUAGGGUUGUUGAGACAAAAAGCUCUUACCUCAAGCCAGUUCAAGGCAUUACCAAAUCAUUGUCUAGCUGUAGACCCAAUUUUGUCCUCACAGGCUGCCAAUGAUCCUGGGAAGAUUUCAAAUGAAUCUACACUGAUCUUGAUUAGACAUGGUGAGUCAUUUUGGAAUCAGCAAAACCUGUUCUCUGGUUGUGUCGAUGUGCCAUUGACUGAGAAAGGCAUAGAAGAAGCAAUUGAAGCUGGAAAAAGAAUUAGCAAUUUACCUAUUGACAUUAUUUUCACAUCUGCACUGGUUCGUGCUCAAAUGACUGCUAUGCUGGCCCUCACCCAGCACCACUGCAAGAAGGUUCCAAUUAUAGUGCACAAUGAGAGUGAACAGGCCAAAGUAUGGAGUAAAAUUCAUAGUGACAAUACCAAGAAGGAAACAAUUCCAGUUGUGAAAGCUUGGCAAUUGAAUGAAAGAAUGUAUGGGGAGUUACAGGGCCUUAAUAAGCAAGAAACAGCUGGAAGGUAUGGAAAAGAGCAAGUUCAUGAAUGGCGUAGAAGUUAUGGUACUUGUCCCCCAAAUGGGGAAAGUUUGGAAAUUUGUUCUCGAAGAGCUGUUGUUUAUUUCAAAGAGCAUAUUGAACCCCAACUUUUCUCAGGAAAGCAUGUGAUGGUUUCUGCCCAUGCAAAUUCACUGAGAGCCAUUAUUAUGCAUCUUGAUCAAUUAACAUCUCAAGAGGUUAUUAGCUUAGAGCUAUCAAAUGCAAUACCAAUGCUCUACUUAUUUAAAGAGGGAAGAUUUAUGAGGAGAGGAAGUCCUUUAGGAUCAACAGAGGCUGGUGUAUAUGCUUAUUCCUCGAAUUUGGCAGUUUAUAGAGAAAAGUUGGAGGAAAUGUCCAUUGAAGCAUCAAAAGAAGAGGACUAAAGAAUAAUCAGAAAGCAUCAUGCAUCAUGAUUCAGAGAAGUUGCAAGGAUAAAGGUAUAUGUAAGCAUAAUCAAGGCAUACUUUCAAGAGUAGGAUCUGAUCUCACUAGUCAGUGAGGGCCCACCCCUGCUUCUUUGUAUGGAGGGUAUAGUCAUGCAUGAAGGCAGGCAGCUUGUAACUUUUCUGGUGAAAGGCAUAUGAGAAGUUGAUAUUAUGUGUUGCACAAUGUGUACAUUCAGCAGUGCAACUCAUGGAAUGGUGCAAGUAUCAUUGUUGUUAUUUGUGUAGCACGUUGUGAUGCACAAUAGCGUCCAUAGAUGCAUCUAAUGUGCACAUAAAACACCAGACAGUCUAUGUAUUUCAUUGCUUUGUUUUCAACUAAGAAAGAACCUGUGUAUCUAAUACAUGCAAGGAGGCUGUUCUGAACUUCUCGUUCACUACCUCCACCCAAAAAGACAGGGGGAGAGAGCUGGUCAACACAUUUUUAUCUGUAGAUCCAAUUAGAAGUCAUGGAAGAUCAACUGUAUGAAAAUGCUUUUGUGAGGCAAGGCUAGGUACUCUAAGUAACUUCAAUAUACAUUACAUGACCACGGAACCUUGGGCUUUGA
RNA transcript from Diospyros lotus (date-plum), 1836 nucleotides. It is a transcript of the gene named 2,3-bisphosphoglycerate-dependent phosphoglycerate mutase 1-like, with no coding region annotated. The record is from RefSeq and is a predicted model, not a curated record. NCBI's taxonomy places the organism in Eukaryota, Viridiplantae, Streptophyta, Magnoliopsida, Ericales, Ebenaceae. The transcript has 10 exons.